RNAcentral lists this ribosomal RNA (484 nucleotides) under uncultured bacterium. RNAcentral's name for it is "partial 16S ribosomal RNA". It matches the Rfam family "Bacterial small subunit ribosomal RNA", at positions 30 to 507 of the family's 1533-position model. The record is from RNAcentral.
AUUGAACGCUGGCGGCAGGCCUAACACAUGCAAGUCGAGCGGAUGAAGGGAGCUUGCUCCUGGAUUCAGCGGCGGACGGGUGAGUAAUGCCUAGGAAUCUGCCUGGUAGUGGGGGAUAACGUCCGGAAACGGGUGCUAAUACCGCAUACGUCCUGAGGGAGAAAGUGGGGGAUCUUCGGACCUCACGCUAUCAGAUGAGCCUAGGUCGGAUUAGCUAGUUGGUGGGGUAAAGGCCUACCAAGGCGACGAUCCGUAACUGGUCUGAGAGGAUGAUCAGUCACACUGGAACUGAGACACGGUCCAGACUCCUACGGGAGGCAGCAGUGGGGAAUAUUGGACAAUGGGCGAAAGCCUGAUCCAGCCAUGCCGCGUGUGUGAAGAAGGUCUUCGGAUUGUAAGGCACUUUAAGUUGGGAGGAAGGGCAGUAAGUUAAUACCUUGCUGUUUUGACGUUACCAACAGAAUAAGCACCGGCUAACUUCGUG